RNAcentral lists this ribosomal RNA (900 nucleotides) under uncultured bacterium. RNAcentral describes it as "bacterial SSU rRNA". It matches the Rfam family "Bacterial small subunit ribosomal RNA", at positions 25 to 917 of the family's 1533-position model. The record is from RNAcentral.
CAGGAUGAACGCUAGCUACAGGCUUAACACAUGCAAGUCGAGGGGCAGCAUGAACUUAGCUUGCUAAGUUUGAUGGCGACCGGCGCACGGGUGAGUAACACGUAUCCAACCUUCCGUUUACUCAGGGAUAACCUUUCGAAAGAAAGAUUAAUACCUGAUAGUAUGGUGAGAUUGCAUGAUAGCACCAUUAAAGAUUUAUUGGUAAACGAUGGGGAUGCGUUCCAUUAGGUAGUAGGCGGGGUAACGGCCCACCUAGCCGACGAUGGAUAGGGGUUCUGAGAGGAAGGUCCCCCACAUUGGAACUGAGACACGGUCCAAACUCCUACGGGAGGCAGCAGUGAGGAAUAUUGGUCAAUGGGCGAGAGCCUGAACCAGCCAAGUAGCGUGAAGGAUGAAGGUCCUACGGAUUGUAAACUUCUUUUAUACGGGAAUAAAGUAUCCUACGUGUAGGAUUUUGUAUGUACCGUAUGAAUAAGCAUCGGCUAACUCCGUGCCAGCAGCCGCGGUAAUACGGAGGAUGCGAGCGUUAUCCGGAUUUAUUGGGUUUAAAGGGAGCGCAGACGGGAGAUUAAGUCAGUUGUGAAAGUUUGCGGCUCAACCGUAAAAUUGCAGUUGAUACUGGUUUCCUUGAGUGCAGUUGAGGCAGGCGGAAUUCGUGGUGUAGCGGUGAAAUGCUUAGAUAUCACGAAGAACCCCGAUUGCGAAGGCAGCUUGCUAAACUGUAACUGACGUUCAUGCUCGAAAGUGUGGGUAUCAAACAGGAUUAGAUACCUCGGUAGUCCACACGGUAAACGAUGGAUACUCGCUGUUGGCGAUAUACUGUCAGCGGCCAAGCGAAAGCAUUAAGUAUCCCACCUGGGGAGUACGCCGGCAACGGUGAAACUCAAAGGAAUUGACGGA